RNAcentral lists this ribosomal RNA (282 nucleotides) under Clostridioides difficile. RNAcentral describes it as "partial 23S ribosomal RNA". It matches the Rfam family "Bacterial large subunit ribosomal RNA", at positions 2443 to 2724 of the family's 2925-position model. The record is from RNAcentral. Lineage: Bacteria; Bacillati; Bacillota; Clostridia; Peptostreptococcales; Peptostreptococcaceae.
CGUCGCGUCCCGUGUAAAUGCCACGCUGGGGAGAGCGGCCUUCACGCCCGAAUGGGUCCACAGCGACGGGGAGGGUUGGCAGGUCGGUGUCGGCUAAGAGGAUCCUGGGGGUGGAGUCGUGCCCGAGGGUGGGGCGGUUGGCCCAUGAAAGUGGUACGCGGGCGGGGUUGAGAGUGGCGUGAGACAGUUCGGGCGCUAUCCGACGCAGGCGUAGGAACUUUGAGUGGACCUGUCCUUAGUACGAGAGGAGCGGGAUGGACGUACCUCUGGUGUACCAGUUGU